Molecule: ribosomal RNA, 375 nt
Filed under: uncultured bacterium
Lineage: Bacteria
Description: bacterial SSU rRNA
Rfam family: Bacterial small subunit ribosomal RNA
Source: RNAcentral
UAAUACGAACUGUGCGAACGUUAUUCGGAAUCACUGGGCUUAAAGGGUGCGUAGGCGGCUUCCUAAGUAGGGUGUGAAAGCCCCCGGCUCAACCGGGGAACUGCGCUCUAAACUGGGUGGCUCGAGUGAGAUAGGGGUGUGUGGAACUUCCGGUGGAGCGGUGAAAUGUGUUGAUAUCGGAAGGAACGCCGGUAGCGAAAGCGACACACUGGGUCUCAACUGACGCUGAGGCACGAAAGCCAGGGGAGUGAACGGGAUUAGAUACCCCGGUAAUCCUGGCUGUAAACGCUGAGCACUGGUGGGGAGGGGCUUCGGUUCUUUCCCACGUAGCAAAAGUGUUAAGUGCUCCGCCUGGGGAGUAUGGUCGCAAGGCUG